This is a long non-coding RNA of Humulus lupulus (European hop), 260 nucleotides long. RefSeq lists it as uncharacterized. NCBI's taxonomy places the organism in Eukaryota, Viridiplantae, Streptophyta, Magnoliopsida, Rosales, Cannabaceae. The record is from RefSeq and is a predicted model, not a curated record. The transcript is spliced from 3 exons.
CUCAUCUGAUUUUUUUAAGACCAUUCAAAGUGUUCUCUCAAUAUUCAACCUCAAGAACACCAAGGAAAACUUGGAGGCUAAGUCUUGGUCUAGGAAGUAUUUUCCCUAAGUUGGUUAGGGUUUUUGAAAGGUUUUGGAGGAGCCAAAGCUAAUAGGAAGGUCCAAACCUUAAGCAAGAACACCAAAGAGUAUUGGCUAAGCGUAACUGGACUGAACGUUGGAGGGUGAAAACCUGCUGAGCGCUAAGGACUCCAAGUAAA